CUGUCAAAAUGUUGUAUACUAGUAAAAGUAAUUCUCUGAAGCUAAAUUUUGUAUUCUAGUAAAAGUAAUUUUUAGAAGUUAAAUUAAAUAGGAAUCCCUGCUCAUAUAGAUAUGGAUUAGUGAUACAUGUAUACAGACAUACAUAUUACACUAUGUGAAUAUCGUAUGACCAACCGUUAGUGAAUCACCUUGCCAUAGCCAUAAGAGCCAUAGACCAAACCAUAUCCAUUUCUAUCGCCCAAUUUGCGCGUGACUUUGAUGUAUCUGUAUUUGGGGAGUAUAUAUGCAUAUACCUAGCUGUAUACUGUAUACUUGUAUAUAUCUAUCAGGGCUACAGGGCAACAGAACCGUGUGUCUUGUGCUGAAUAUUUAAUAGGAUGUCAACUUAUUUCUUAUCAAGAGAGAAAGAGAAAUAGAGAAAAGAGAGCCAUGCUUACUAUGUGGAUGUCUUGUUGACUGUGUGUGGGUGGGUGUGAAGGUGAGAAGAUAUAUAAUGAGGCUGAUAGAGCUAAUCAAGCAGCAGCAAAGCCUGAUAGCGCUAUGCUCAACAGCUGAAGGGCGUGUCGAGCUCAAUUGACCAACGAGUGGGCGUAACGCUAAUGAUUUGGGGCAUACACGACUGACCAUAUAUAAAGCAAAUGAAUUUCGGCUACUCGAAAAUAGAUGGUUGGCGCAAGUGAAACGAAACUCCAGAAAGGUUAUAUUCUAAACCAAUAUAUAAGAUAUAUAGAAUUUGUAACAUGUUUAAAAAGUGAAAUUAUUUGUUUGAGAAAGUGAAUUGAAUAUUUUAUAAAUAUUAUUUUGGGCAAAUUUUGUUAAUCUCGUAAGUUCUGUUCAAAUAAAAAUGUUGAAUAUA
This is a long non-coding RNA of Drosophila mojavensis, 856 nucleotides long. RefSeq lists it as uncharacterized. The transcript is spliced from 2 exons. The record is from RefSeq and is a predicted model, not a curated record. NCBI's taxonomy places the organism in Eukaryota, Metazoa, Arthropoda, Insecta, Diptera, Drosophilidae.